AACGAACGCUGGCGGCAGGCCUAACACAUGCAAGUCGAACGGAUGUAGCAAUACAUUAGUGGCGCACGGGAGAGUAACGCGUGGGAACCUACCUUUUGGUACGGAAUAACGUCGGGAAACUGACGCUAAUACCGGAUAAGCCCUUCGGGGGAAAGAUUUAUCGCCGAUAGAUGGGCCCGCGUUAGAUUAGCUAGUUGGUGAGGUAAUGGCUCACCAAGGCUUCGAUCUAUAACUGGUUUGAGAGGAUGACCAGUCUCACUGGGACUGAGACACGGCCCAGACUCCUACGGGAGGCAGCAGUGGGGAAUAUUGGACAAUGGGGGAAACCCUGAUCCAGCCAUGCCGCGUGAAUGAUGAAGGCCUUCGGGUUGUAAAGUUCUUUUGGUGGGGACGAUAAUGACGGUACCCACAGAAUAAGCUCCGGCUAACUUCGUG
This 435-nucleotide ribosomal RNA is filed under the name uncultured organism. Its description in RNAcentral is "bacterial SSU rRNA". It matches the Rfam family "Bacterial small subunit ribosomal RNA", at positions 29 to 507 of the family's 1533-position model. The record is from RNAcentral.